CCUACGGGAGGCAGCAGUGAGGAAUAUUGGUCAAUGGGCGAGAGGCUGAACCAGCCAAGUCGCGUGAGGGAUGACGGCACUGCGUAUUGUAAACCUCUUUUGUCGGGGAACAAAGACGGGGACUAGUCCCCGGAUGAGGGUACCCGAAGAAAAAGCAUCGGCUAACUCCGUGCCAGCAGCCGCGGUAAUACGGAGGAUGCGAGCGUUAUCCGGAUUUAUUGGGUUUAAAGGGUGCGCAGGCGGACGGUUAAGUCAGCGGUAAAAUGGCGGGGCGCAACCCCGGCGAGCCGUUGAAACUGGGGGGCUGGAGUGGGAGAGAAGUACGCGGAAUGCGGGGUGUAGCGGUGAAAUGCUUAGAUAUCGCGCAGAACUCCGAUUGCGAAGGCAGCGUACCGGCUCCAAACUGACGCUGAGGCACGAAAGCGUGGGUAUCGAACAGGAUUAGAUACCCUUGUAGUC
RNAcentral lists this ribosomal RNA (459 nucleotides) under uncultured bacterium. RNAcentral describes it as "partial 16S ribosomal RNA". It matches the Rfam family "Bacterial small subunit ribosomal RNA", at positions 338 to 795 of the family's 1533-position model. The record is from RNAcentral.